AGCCAGGAUUUGCACAAAGCAUGCCAAUACCUCUUUCCCUUUUUCAGUUGGACUGCCUGUUUCUCCACCCCUACUGCUUUAACCCCACCUCUGCUCCUCAUUGUGUUCCUCCCUCGCUCCACGAACACAAACAUCCCACAAGGCAACGGGCCAUCCCUAAACUUCUUAACCAACAUCUUCCCAGUAGGAUUACGGCUCUGAUCAAUACCGCAACCAAAUUCCCCAGAACUGAUCAAUGAACCCACUGAUGACAAGCGACAACUCGACAUGCAACGCCAGGAAUGUAACGAGAGUAAGAGAUAUCAUUCGGGCUGGACGGCAUACCGACGCUAAUCCUAGAGAGACAUUUCUGAAAUGAGCUGCGCCGAUCCAGGAGAAUGACUUGCAUGUGCAUUGCCUGCCUGCUUUCCCAAAACCCCUCCUCUCUUUUUAGUCCAGCGAGCAACAUGAGCUACUGGACCACAAUUUCCACUCACACUAAACAAGUUUCCAGGCACUCUGACGCAGCCUUUAUCUGAAAUGGACUAAUAGCUUUAAUGCAUUUGUACAGAUGAUAAUCAGGUGCUCAUCACUCUCCUCAUUGCACGCAUGGAGAGGAUGGAAAUUCUCCAAGAAUAACAUCAUUAAAUUUGAAAAGAUAUAAUGUAUAGCGUUUAGCCCAUGGUUUAACCCAAUAUAACACCUAACUUUCUGUUAGCUAUGCCACUACCGCUGUCAGGGUUUCACAGUCAGUCACAGUGUAUGACUGGAGGGUAGACUUUUCAAAAUACUGAUUAAAAUGCAUCUCCAUCUA
Pangasianodon hypophthalmus (striped catfish) is the source of this 793-nucleotide long non-coding RNA. RefSeq lists it as uncharacterized. The transcript has 2 exons. The record is from RefSeq and is a predicted model, not a curated record. Lineage: Eukaryota; Metazoa; Chordata; Actinopteri; Siluriformes; Pangasiidae.